RNAcentral lists this long non-coding RNA (360 nucleotides) under Cricetulus griseus (Chinese hamster). RNAcentral describes it as "lncRNA (ENSCGRG00015041777.1)". Lineage: Eukaryota; Metazoa; Chordata; Mammalia; Rodentia; Cricetidae. The record is from RNAcentral.
CUCGGAUCAUACCUUCUGUCUUAUGCUGAUAUUAAAGUGUGUACCACCACUGCCUGGUCUCUAUGGAUAACCAGUGUGGCUUUGCACUUUGAUCUUCAGCCUCUGCACCAGCUCCUGCCUCCAGGUUCCUGUCCUAACUUCCUCCAAGGAUGGACAAUGAUGUCCACCCAGGGAUCCAACCUGUGGGAUGGUGCUGUGCACAUUCAGAUGGAUCUUUCCUUCUUAGUCAAGCAUCUCUGGAAACAUGCCCCGAACGGAUGUGGCCAGGGGUGUGUCUCCUAGGUGACUCAGUCUUGCCAAGCUGACAAUGAACUUCAACCAUCAAAGCCACGUUCUGAAAACAUCAGUAUUGAAACAUAC